CCCUUUCAUGUACUGAGCCUCUACGUGGCGAAAGGGAUCAACAGACAAAACGUCUGGCUAAUCAGUA
This 67-nucleotide non-coding RNA is filed under the name Caenorhabditis briggsae. Lineage: Eukaryota; Metazoa; Nematoda; Chromadorea; Rhabditida; Rhabditidae. The record is from RNAcentral.